Molecule: ribosomal RNA, 490 nt
Filed under: uncultured bacterium
Lineage: Bacteria
Description: partial 16S ribosomal RNA
Rfam family: Bacterial small subunit ribosomal RNA
Source: RNAcentral
AGUGAACGCUGGCGGUAGGCCUAACACAUGCCAGUCGAACGGCAGCACAGGAGAGCUUGCUCUCUGGGUGGCGAGUGGCGGACGGGUGAGGAAUACAUCGGAAUCUGCCCAGUCGUGGGGGAUAACGUAGGGAAACUUACGCUAAUACCGCAUACGACCUUCGGGUGAAAGAGGGGGAUCGCAAGACCUCUCGCGAUUGGAUGAGCCGAUGUCGGAUUAGCUAGUUGGCGGGGUAAUGGCCCACCAAGGCGACGAUCCGUAGCUGGUCUGAGAGGAUGAUCAGCCACACUGGAGCUGAGACACGGUCCAGACUCCUACGGGAGGCAGCAGUGGGGAAUAUUGGACAAUGGGCGCAAGCCUGAUCCAGCCAUACCGCGUGGGUGAAGAAGGCCUUCGGGUUGUAAAGCCCUUUUGUUGGGAAAGAAAUCUUUCAGGCUAAUACCCUGGGAGGAUGACGGUACCCAAAGAAUAAGCACCGGCUAACUUCGUG